RNAcentral lists this long non-coding RNA (649 nucleotides) under Erythranthe guttata (spotted monkey flower). Its description in RNAcentral is "long non-coding RNA (EGUT_LNC001552)". Lineage: Eukaryota; Viridiplantae; Streptophyta; Magnoliopsida; Lamiales; Phrymaceae. The record is from RNAcentral.
AAAAUCGUACUACAUACGGUAAUAGUAAAAAAACAAAGCGGUGAAAGAGGUAAAUUAUUAAAAUUUAAUAGACAUGAGCAAAGCAUCUAUGAGUAUUCAGUAGCAGCAGAAAUUACUUAGAAAAAGUUAACUAGAGAUUGAUUAAAAACUGAGAACCCAGGUUAAAAAAUUAAAAUAAGAAAAGUGUGGGUGGUUAAGAAAGGACAACCACAUAACAAAGAUUUUUAUUAUCUACAGUCCCAUCUUCUUCUCUCCCAUCAUCAUCAUCAUCAUCAUUAUCAUCUUCCCCAAACACAUUAACCCAUUUUCUCUCUCUAAACUCUUCUCUCUCCUCUUUCUCUCUCUCUUUCAAUGCUAAUUUAUUUAUAUGGCUAAAGAUUCUUCUUUUACCCUACAAACCCUAACUCUCACUCUAAUCAAAUUAUACUUUUAGAUUUAAUUCUUUGGAUGUUGGUUUAAUUAAUCAGCCAUGGAUUUGGGGAAUUCUACUACUACAGUGAAAACUCCGGAAGCUGAAACCGAGACUCCGACCCGGAUCCAGCCAGUAUUAAAGGCGCCGCCUUUCACCAACGGUGUACUUAAGCGCCACGCGCCGCUGCAUCUCCACCACCACAGCCACCACCCAGUUGUUGUUACGUACAAGGAANNN